This 420-nucleotide ribosomal RNA is filed under the name Bacillus mojavensis. Its description in RNAcentral is "bacterial SSU rRNA". It matches the Rfam family "Bacterial small subunit ribosomal RNA", at positions 45 to 455 of the family's 1533-position model. Lineage: Bacteria; Bacillati; Bacillota; Bacilli; Caryophanales; Bacillaceae. The record is from RNAcentral.
UGCCUAAUACAUGCAAGUCGAGCGGACAGAUGGGAGCUUGCUCCCUGAUGUUAGCGGCGGACGGGUGAGUAACACGUGGGUAACCUGCCUGUAAGACUGGGAUAACUCCGGGAAACCGGGGCUAAUACCGGAUGCUUGUUUGAACCGCAUGGUUCAAACAUAAAAGGUGGCUUCGGCUACCACUUACAGAUGGACCCGCGGCGCAUUAGCUAGUUGGUGAGGUAACGGCUCACCAAGGCAACGAUGCGUAGCCGACCUGAGAGGGUGAUCGGCCACACUGGGACUGAGACACGGCCCAGACUCCUACGGGAGGCAGCAGUAGGGAAUCUUCCGCAAUGGACGAAAGUCUGACGGAGCAACGCCGCGUGAGUGAUGAAGGUUUUCGGAUCGUAAAGCUCUGUUGUUAGGGAAGAACAAGUA